ACAAUUCAAAGAAUCUGAAAAGCAUUACUAUACAAUUUACAAGAAGAUCUUAGCUAUAAAAAAUGACAUAAAAAAAUUUGAGUUUCACCUCAUAGGUCACUGUUUCCUGAUUAUAAUGAACAAUUUGUCCUUGCCUAGACAAGAAAAUAUCCCUUUUCAUACAGAAUGACACUACAUCUAUACCAGAAAGAUAGAUGGUCAUUUUCUUUGGGAUAUUCCUGGAUCGGGUAUGUGUGAUCCCAAUUGUGAUUGUAGAAAUGAAAACUGGGAAGGAGACUAUGAUCUUCCUUUGGCUCCAAAAUAGUGGAAAAAGUUACAUUGCCGCUCUCAUUUUUUAUGCAACCACUAUAAGCCCAGAAGAGACUCAUUUUCUUAUUCUGGCCCCUCCUUCGGUGCUACCCUUUGUAGCUUCAUGUAUAAUGCUCCUUAGAAGAAUCAUAUGAAGAAAACUUCCCUCCUUUACAGCAUAGGAUUGAUCAUAUCACCGGAGUUGUUUCCAAAUUAUAACAAGUGACAAUUGAAGAUGUAUAAUUCGUAGGGAAACUGAGGGUUAAUUGUAAUGCAUGUGAUGUUG
This 574-nucleotide unclassified non-coding RNA is filed under the name Hevea brasiliensis (rubber tree). The record is from RNAcentral. Lineage: Eukaryota; Viridiplantae; Streptophyta; Magnoliopsida; Malpighiales; Euphorbiaceae.